Molecule: ribosomal RNA, 406 nt
Filed under: uncultured bacterium
Lineage: Bacteria
Description: partial 16S ribosomal RNA
Rfam family: Bacterial small subunit ribosomal RNA
Source: RNAcentral
AUUGAACGCUGGCGGCAGGCCUAACACAUGCAAGUCGAACGAGUGGCGGACGGGUGAGUAAUGUCUGGGAAACUGCCUGAUGGAGGGGGAUAAAUACUGGAAACGGUAGCUAAUACCGCAUACCAUCGGAUGUGCCCAGGUGGGAUUAGCUAGUAGGAGGGGUAAAGGCUCACCUAGGCGACGAUCCCUAGCUGGCCGGAGAGGAUGACCAUCCCCACUGGAACUGAGACACGGUUCAGACACCUACGAGAGGCAGGUGUGGGGAAUAUUGCAAAAUGGGCGCAAGCCUGAUGCAGCCAUGCCGCGUGUAUGAAGAAGGCCUUCGGGUUGUAGAGUACUUUCAGCGGGGAGGCGUUACCCGCAGAAGAAGCACCGGCUAACUCCGUGCCAGCAGCCGCGGUAAUUC